GGGGCUGUGUCUCAAUUCAGGGUCUGCAUCCUACGUCGGCCGGAUUCGUCGGCCGGUUACGUCACAGCGCCGCGACUCGGCCUGUCCCAAUUCGAAGACUCCUUCAAAUGCGGUCGACGAAUGCGGCCUUCUUUUCGCCUGAAUGAAGGAUGGGUCCGGUGUAUCCUUCAAUAGGUAGCAUUUCCCAAGAUGCCUUGCGGGCCGGCCGGCAGAAAAACUUAAAAACAAUGGCGGACAGUGAAGCGGGAGCUGUCGGAGAGGAUUGCGCAUAUAAAUGUCAGUAUAAACUUGAAAACUGUUAGGUUAAGGACUUUUUGUGAUACAUGAACGUUAUUUUAGUUAGAAAUGUAACAGUAAAAGUGCUUGUAUUGCGGUCUCGGCUCGUAUGUUCGGCCGCGCUCGGUGUCGUACUUCUCCCGCUACGUUUCCCCCUGAUUUUAAUAGAAGUUUGUAUUUUAGGAACAAAAGAGAAAACCAGGGAAUUUAUUAAGCUUAGGGCGGAGAUGGACCACAUCAUCACUGGAGCCAAGUAUUCGGCGGCUGUGGCAUGGAGACUAUUCUGGAGAAAAUGGGCAUCCAGGGGAAGGUGCCAGCGAUGACAAGCUUCUGGAGCUGAUCUGGGAGGACAUGAGGCUGCAGAGGGCACAGGAGAGAAGGAAGAACUUUGACAGCUUUUUACUUUGCUAGAAAAAAAUGGUUAAGGAAGAUUAAACAUGUACAUAUAAAUGAAAUAUCUAAAUAAAAUCAGUUCUGCAUUAAA
Non-coding RNA from Nothobranchius furzeri (turquoise killifish), 760 nucleotides. The record is from RefSeq and is a predicted model, not a curated record. NCBI's taxonomy places the organism in Eukaryota, Metazoa, Chordata, Actinopteri, Cyprinodontiformes, Nothobranchiidae.